AAAACGCUUCGGGGAGCUGGAAUUGGCCGGCUGAGAGUGUAUUCCUUAUAAUACUGACCCAUAACCUGAUCUGGAUAAUGCCAGCGUAGGGAAGUAAGCUUCUGAUAUCUU
RNAcentral lists this non-coding RNA (111 nucleotides) under Brevibacillus laterosporus. RNAcentral describes it as "TPP sequence". It matches the Rfam family "TPP riboswitch aptamer (THI element)". Rfam says of the family: Vitamin B(1) in its active form thiamin pyrophosphate (TPP) is an essential coenzyme that is synthesised by coupling of pyrimidine and thiazole moieties in bacteria. The previously detected thiamin-regulatory element, thi box was extended, resulting in a new, highly conserved RNA secondary structure, the THI element, which is widely distributed in eubacteria and also occurs in some archaea. Lineage: Bacteria; Bacillati; Bacillota; Bacilli; Caryophanales; Paenibacillaceae. RNAcentral also lists the same sequence under 1 other name. The record is from RNAcentral.